Molecule: non-coding RNA, 85 nt
Organism: Felis catus (domestic cat)
Lineage: Eukaryota; Metazoa; Chordata; Mammalia; Carnivora; Felidae
Source: Rfam
GCCUGGGUGGCUUGGUCGGUUAAGCGUCUGACUUCGGCUCAGGUCACGAUCUCACGGUCUGUGAGUUCGAGCCCCGCGUCGGGCU